This is a long non-coding RNA of Tachysurus fulvidraco (yellow catfish), 2311 nucleotides long. RefSeq lists it as uncharacterized. The transcript has 3 exons. The record is from RefSeq and is a predicted model, not a curated record. NCBI's taxonomy places the organism in Eukaryota, Metazoa, Chordata, Actinopteri, Siluriformes, Bagridae.
CUUCAACAAGGGAAAACUAUUGUUUUCUAGUGAAACAGCAUGAUCAGUACUAAAGCAUUCUGUACAAUCCUGUAACAGUGUAGUUCAUCACGCAGGAUUCGGGUAUAAUAAAAUGAAGCGAUCUAGAAUUAAAAGGACAUGCACCUGUAGAAAACGUCUGUUUCAGGAAUUCUGUUUACUUUCUGUUACACUGGUGCGGACUGAACUGGGAAUAAGCAUUUAAACUUGCUGGCUGCCUGGAAUAACAGCUGAAACUUAAGAGGAUGUUGCCUAGGGUCCUGGAGUCCAGCUGAAAAACAUAUGUGAAGCUAAAGGACAAUUAGAAUGAGGAGAUUGGAAGAUGAGGAGAUAACGCUGAUCUGAUCUGAGCUAAUUAUCCAGUAUCCUGGAAAAGUUUUUUGAAGGUACAAUUCAUUAUUUAUUUAUUUUUGUUUGUUGAGCAAAAGUAAUAAACACACACAAUACGGCUUACAAAACAAAACAAAACAAAACAAACAGAUCUUAUCGAACCUUAUUCCCAAGAAUGAUAGACCUAAUGAUUGGAUACACAAAUGGUGUAUGUUUUUCUACAUUAAGACUCUGAGAACUUUUAGUCCUUUAGGAAAGGAUGCAAAAAAAUUGUACAGAUGUUUAUUUAAACAUGUUUUGAACCCAAAAGGAGAUAUCAUGUUUUUAAUUCACAAGCAACCUUGUGUUUUAUAAGGUUCUCUCUGUUAUUAUGUAGUCUGUGAAUCUCAGUAAACAAUUAAUAAGUGAUAUUAACUAGUUUAAGUAGUUUAUUCUCUGAAUGACUGUGGAAAAAAUUUAAGGGCAUUGACAACAUCUGCAUGAUAAACGUGUACUUAAUUUGUUGAUGCUGUUUCUUUCGGUUGAUGUGAACUCUGGAGUCCACCCACAAUCAUACACACAUAUACUUGAACUUGAGUUUGAACUUAAACAUAAGUCAAGUCAAGUAACAAAUUGUAGGUCUUUUGCCUUAAGUUAAUGGGAAAUAUACUGGAAAUCAUUCACGCUAAACAAAAAGGGAAUAAUAAAAGAACCAGAUGAUCUGUACAAAUUUAUCAUGCCUAAUCUUUUUAUUCUCUAAUAUAACAUUUCUAUGCUGAUAAGAGUGUACAGGAUGACAGUUUGACCAUUCAUAUGACAUCAGACAGGUUGAGUGAAUAGUUUGAGGAGUAUGACAAUGAGGUAAAUCAAAUAUUAUUCAGUCAAACACUUAUGGAAAAUUUUGGAUUGACAUAUUAUUCAGCAUGCUCAUCGCCGCCACCAUCAAAACACGAUUUGAGGAAAUCUUUGGGAUAAAUUAUAUCUGCGAUAUGUAUACUUCCACAGACUUUAGAGCUUUUCAGGGGGUUUAUAGGGACCCACUCACUCAUGCAUUUUUUCAUUUAUGUGCCCCAAGUCACAUUUAGGGUCUACUGGAGAUCCUGAGGAUGUAAUAAAUCUUACUUAUUAGUUAUGGCUCAUGACAUGUUCUAUCUUAUACAUAGAUUUUAUUAGGUAAUAUUUUGCAUGACACUGAAAUUCUGUGGAGAUGGUGAACUUUUAUGGUAUUUUUGCAAUACAUGAUUGAUUGAUUUGUUAGGUAUACCUUUCUCUUCUCUUUAUAUGAAAGUGUAUAUAAUCAGAACAUAUGCUUUAGCCAUUUUCCCCAGUUUAAUUUGACCUAAAUAUCCAAGCAUUGCAUUUUCCAGAUGUCAUGUCUGCUCUUACAGUCACUAACUCCAACUCAUCAAGGGUUGGACAACACAUACAGUAUCUUCAUGACAUCAUUAAACAGAAAUCCACUAUGGCCCUGGUCUUUAAACUCAAAUUACACACAUCUGGAUUCAACAUUUAGUGGGAAGUCUUGCCCCAGCAUUCCCUGGUCAUGUCACUGCUACAUGUGCCUGUGAAAUUUAUAGUACUGACCUUCAGUAAUAUACUUAUUACUUGUUUUGCAUGUUGUAGUUGUAGGAUGGUGGUGUACAUUGACAUCACACUGCUCACAUUUGUUGAUAAUUGGGUCCAGUAUAUAAUCCACAGACAAAUUUGUUUGUACCUCAGUGAGUGGGUGAGCUAACACUGACCCAAAUGCCAGCCCAUUAUUGGGCCUUGUUUUGCUGCUUGUCAAACAUAUAGAUUCGUGUCUGAAAUUGUAUGUAUGUGUGUGGCAAUGUAAAUGACUGCUCUUUAUACAAAUAAAACAAUGGCUAUCUCUGAACAAUUUUGUUGAGCUUAGUUUGAUUGCAUGUUCUCAAUAUUUACUAUCUGACCUGUGGCUUCAACAUAUAGAUUCAUUCUUGGAAUAAACAACUUGAUUGGAAGCAAA